This 253-nucleotide ribosomal RNA is filed under the name uncultured bacterium. RNAcentral describes it as "partial 16S ribosomal RNA". It matches the Rfam family "Bacterial small subunit ribosomal RNA", at positions 524 to 776 of the family's 1533-position model. The record is from RNAcentral.
UACGGGGGGGGCAAGCGUUGUUCGGAAUUACUGGGCGUAAAGGGCGCGUAGGUGGCCAACUAAGUCAGACGUGAAAUCCCUCGGCUUAACCGGGGAACUGCGUCUGAUACUGGAUGGCCUGAGUUUGGGAGAGGGACGCGGAAUUCCAGGUGUAGCGGUGAAAUGCGUAGAUAUCUGGAGGAACACCGGUGGCGAAGGCGGCGUCCUGGACCAAUACUGACACUGAAACGCGAAAGCCAGGGGAGCAAACGGG